CCGCGUGCAGGAGAAGGCCUUCUGGGUUGUAAACUGCUUUUGCCAGGGGAUAAAAUACCCAUGCGUGGGGAAUUGCAAGUACCUGGUGAAUAAGCCACGGCUAACUACGUGCCAGCAGCCGCGGUAAUACGUAGGUGGCGAGCGUUGUCCGGAUUUAUUGGGUUUAAAGGGUGCGUAGGCGGCCUAUUAAGUCAGUGCUGAAAUACCCCGGCUCAACCGGGGGGGUGGCAUUGAUACUGAUGGGCUUGAGUACAGAUGAGGUAGGCGGAAUUGACGGUGUAGCGGUGAAAUGCAUAGAUAUCGUCAAGAACACCUAUAGCGAAGGCAGCUUACUAAGCUGUAACUGACGCUGAGGCACGAAAGUGUGGGGAUCAAACAGGAUUAGAUACCCUGGUAGUCCACACUGUAAACGUUGAUAACUCGCUGUUUGCGAUACACAGCAUGCGGCCAAGCGCAAGCGAUAAGUUAUCCACCUGGGGAGUACGCCGGCAACGGUG
This 497-nucleotide ribosomal RNA is filed under the name uncultured Bacteroidota bacterium. RNAcentral's name for it is "bacterial SSU rRNA". It matches the Rfam family "Bacterial small subunit ribosomal RNA", at positions 397 to 896 of the family's 1533-position model. Lineage: Bacteria; Pseudomonadati; Bacteroidota. The record is from RNAcentral.